AUUGGACAAUGGGGGCAACCCUGAUCCAGCCAUGCCGCGUGUGUGAAGAAGGUCUUCGGAUUGUAUAGCACUUUAAGUUGGGAGGAAGGGCUUUAGGUUAAUACCCUGAUGUUUUGACGUCACCACCAGAACAAGCACCGUCUAACUAUGCGCAAGCAGCCGCGGAAAUACAGAGGGUGCACGCGUUAAUCGGAAUUACUGGGCGUAAAGCGUGCGUAGAUGGUUCAGUAAGAUGGGUGUGAAAUCCCCGGGCUUAACCUGGGAACUGCUUUCAUAACUGCUGAGCUAGAGUACGGUAGAGGGUAGUGGAAUUUCCUGUGUAGCGGUGAAAUGCGUAGAUAUAGGAAGGAACACCAGUGGCGAAGGCGACUACCUGGACUGAUACUGACACUGAGGUGCGAAAGCGUGGGGAGCAAACA
Molecule: ribosomal RNA, 419 nt
Filed under: uncultured bacterium
Lineage: Bacteria
Description: partial 16S ribosomal RNA
Rfam family: Bacterial small subunit ribosomal RNA
Source: RNAcentral